RNAcentral lists this ribosomal RNA (504 nucleotides) under uncultured bacterium. Its description in RNAcentral is "partial 16S ribosomal RNA". It matches the Rfam family "Bacterial small subunit ribosomal RNA", at positions 29 to 507 of the family's 1533-position model. The record is from RNAcentral.
ACGAACGCUGGCGGCGUGCCUCAUACAUGCAAGUAGAACGCACAGUUUAUACCGUAGCUUGCUACACCAUAAACUGUGAGUUGCGAACGGGUGAGUAACGCGUAGGUAACCUGCCUGGUAGCGGGGGAUAACUAUUGGAAACGAUAGCUAAUACCGCAUAAUAUUGAUUAUUGCAUGAUAAUUGAUUGAAAGAUGCUAUUGCAUCACUACCAGAUGGACCUGCGUUGUAUUAGCUAGUAGGUGAGGUAACGGCUCACCUAGGCGACGAUACAUAGCCGACCUGAGAGGGUGAUCGGCCACACUGGGACUGAGACACGGCCCAGACUCCUACGGGAGGCAGCAGUAGGGAAUCUUCGGCAAUGGACGAAAGUCUGACCGAGCAACGCCGCGUGAGUGAAGAAGGUUUUCGGAUCGUAAAGCUCUGUUGUAAGAGAAGAACGGGUGUGAGAGUGGAAAGUUCACACUGUGACGGUAUCUUACCAGAAAGGGACGGCUAACUACGUG